Molecule: long non-coding RNA, 1821 nt
Organism: Homo sapiens (human)
Lineage: Eukaryota; Metazoa; Chordata; Mammalia; Primates; Hominidae
Source: Ensembl
GGGUCUUCCAGGAUCGCGCAUUAGCGGACGCUGGCUACGGGUGGCCGGGCGGGAUGUAACCGGCUGCUGAGCUGGCAGUUCUGUGUCCCCAGGCUUCGGCCCGGCCGCCGCCGCACAUAAACUGCGAGGAGGAGCUUUACGACUUCUCGGUCUUCGGGGCCGGGCGCAGCAAGGGCCAGACUCUGCGCUAGCAGGCGCUGCGCGCCAACCGGCCGGCCCCUGUCGCAGAAGGUGCAACCGAUCGCACUGUCGCGCAGAAGCUCCUCAAUGGCCAGCGCCAGCUGCAGCCCCGGCUGCCCACUCGCCUCACCUGAGCCUGGGUGGAACAAUCCAAAGUUUUAAUCAAAGAAGGUGGUAUUCAGUUGCUGCUUACAAUAGUUGAUACCCCAGGAUUUGGAGAUGCAGUGGAUAAUAGUAAUUGCUGGCAGCCUGUUAUCAAUUACAUUGAUAGUAAAUUUGAGGACUACCUAAAUGCAGAAUCGCAAGUGAACAGAUGUCAGAUGCCUGGUAACAGGGUGCACUGUUGUUUAUACUUCAUUGCUCCUUCAGGACAUGGACCGUUACAUAACUGAAGACUCCCACCUUCAGGCAGGAUUGGGUAGUACAUGUUUGUAACUACCUGGCAUUGCCUUUUGUUGAGACUUAAACCAUUGGAUAUUGAGUUUACAAAGCAUUUGCAUGAAAAAGUGAAUAUCAUCCCACUUAUUGCCAAAGCAGACACACUCAUGCCAGAGGAAUGCCAACAGUUUAAAAAACAGAUAAAGAAAUCCAAGAACAUAAAGUUAAAAUAUAUGAAUUUCCAGAAACAGAUGAUGAAGAAGAAAAAAAACUUGUUAAAAAGAUAAAGGACCAUUUACCUCUUGCUGUGGUGGGUAGUAAUACUAUCAUUGAAGUUAAUGGCAAAAGGGUCAUAGGAAGGCAGUAUCCUUGGAGUGUUGCUGAAGUUGAAAAUGGUGAACAUUGUGAUUUUACAGUUUUAAGAAAUAUGUUGAUAAGAACACACGCAGGACUUGAAAGAUGUUACUAAUAAUGUCCACUACGAGAACUAUGGAAUCAGAAAACUGGCAGCUGUGACUUAUCAUGGAGUUGAUAACAAGAAGAAUAAAGGGCAGCUCACUAAGAGCCCUCUGGCACAAAUGGAAGAAGAAAGAAGGGAGCAAGUAGCUAAAAUUAAGAAGAUGGAGAUGGAGAUGGAGCAGGUGUUUGAGAUGAAGGUCAAAGAAAAAGUUCAAAAACUGAAGGACUCUGAAGCUGAGGUACAGCGGACCUUCCUGGCAUCAGAAAAAGGCCUCCAGAAAAAGAGACACAGACUGCCUUUGAAAAACCUCUAACCUGUGAGCACGAGAUGAUUCCAGAACAAACUCUGUCUCCCAUGUGGCAUGACCAGCCUUGGGUCUCUUAAACUUUUUCUCCACUAUAAUGCCAUGGUCUUUAUGCAGCAGGCAGGAAGAAUUCAGGAACUGAUUUCAUCUGAAAUUGAAGAGACAAUCAGAGAAAAACUAUAGACCACUCAUGAUGGUUGUUAUAUGUGCUUGGCUGGGCCAUGGGUCCCAGUGUUUGGUGAAACACAGCAGCAGAUGUCCCUCACACACAUGCCCUCUUGGUUCUGUUUCUUUGAAGAACCCCAGGAAAACACACAAAGGAAAAACAACUCGAUAGACAGAAGAUUCUUCAAUGACAACAAUGGAAGCCAUCUUCACCAUUCAACUAAACUUGAAUGGGAUAUUAUCAAACUUAAAAAAAAAUUAUCAACUGAUCGUGUAAUCAGUUUCAUCUUUUAAGACAGGAAAUGAAAUAAAGUAUUUACAGAUGAAUGUAAAA